RNAcentral lists this ribosomal RNA (253 nucleotides) under uncultured bacterium. RNAcentral describes it as "partial 16S ribosomal RNA". It matches the Rfam family "Bacterial small subunit ribosomal RNA", at positions 524 to 776 of the family's 1533-position model. The record is from RNAcentral.
UACAGAGGUCUCAAGCGUUGUUCGGAUUCAUUGGGCGUAAAGGGUGCGUAGGUGGCGCCGUAAGUCGGGUGUGAAAUUUCGGAGCUUAACUCCGAAACUGCAUUCGAUACUGCGGUGCUUGAGGACUGGAGAGGAGACUGGAAUUCAUGGUGUAGCAGUGAAAUGCGUAGAGAUCGUAAGGAAGGCCAGUGGCGAAGGCGAGUUCCUGGACAGUUACUGACGCUGAGGCACGAAGGCCAGGGGAGCAAACGGG